RNAcentral lists this ribosomal RNA (585 nucleotides) under uncultured bacterium. RNAcentral's name for it is "bacterial SSU rRNA". It matches the Rfam family "Bacterial small subunit ribosomal RNA", at positions 338 to 916 of the family's 1533-position model. The record is from RNAcentral.
CCUACGGGAGGCAGCAGUGGGGAAUUUUGGACAAUGGGGGCAACCCUGAUCCAGCCAUGCCGCGUGCGGGAAGAAGGCCUUCGGGUUGUAAACCGCUUUUAGUCGGGAAGAAAAGGCAAGGGCUAACAGCUCUUGUUCUUGACGGUACCGGCGGAAUAAGCACCGGCUAACUACGUGCCAGCAGCCGCGGUAAUACGUAGGGUGCGAGCGUUAAUCGGAAUUACUGGGCGUAAAGCGUGCGCAGGCGGUUCGUUAAGUUCGAUGUGAAAGCCCCGGGCUCAACCUGGGAAUGGCAUUGGAAACUGGCGAGCUUGAGUGUGGCAGAGGGGGGUGGAAUUCCGCGUGUAGCAGUGAAAUGCGUAGAGAUGCGGAGGAACACCGAUGGCGAAGGCAGCCCCCUGGGCCAACACUGACGCUCAGGCACGAAAGCGUGGGGAGCAAACAGGAUUAGAUACCCUGGUAGUCCACGCCCUAAACGAUGCUCACUAGGUGUUGGGGAAGCGAUUCCUUGGUACCGUAGCUAACGCGUGAAGUGAGCCGCCUGGGGAGUACGGCCGCAAGGUUAAAACUCAAAGGAAUUGACGG